UUUUUUUUUCAAAAAAGCUGUCCAAAUUAAUAGUCCUUUCCGAUUCCCCAUAAUUGUGUAAUUUCUUGAAUCUUUUCAUAUUCUCCGUUAACUUAUUUAAUUUGAUGAUAUUCAUCUCUCUUUCUUUAACUCUCUCUCCUAAAUCUUGCUACUGUUCCUCUCUCUCUCAGAUUUAGCUGACUACUCCCUCAUCUCUUUCAAUUCAUCUUUCCUUUCAGAUUCCAUCACUUUCUUCCUCUAUUUUUCCUCUGCAAGAAUCGGCCUUGACCCUCUUUCUUUCUUCUAGAUCUGGUUUUGGCCUUCUUCCUCUCUCUUUCUUCUAAAUUCGACUCCAACUUUCUCUUCCCUAUCUCUCAUUUCCUUCAUCUACGUGCCUUUCCUUCAUUGAGUGAAAAUCAUAUGAAUAGGUUUUUGCCCUGAUAAAAAUCCUCGGACACCAUAGAAAACGUCAACAGCGAAGGUAUCUCGCCGGACCAGCAGGACUCAUCUUCGCUGGGAAACAGCUCGAACACGGCCGCACCCUCGCCGACUACAACACGCACCGGCGAUUUCUCUAUCUUUCUCCGUGUGCUUGAUUUUUGCCUCAUCUGAGAAUAAAUCACAAAGGGUGUUAGUGUUAGGGUUUUUGGCGCUGCUUCUCAUAUAAAAAGCUCAUAAAGGCCGCCCAUCGUUCAACAGCUCCAGGCUUUGUUUCCUUGCUGCUUCUUCCUCUUCAGGUGCUUGGUUUUUUGGUAGUAUUUCUUGAGUGCUAAGAAGACUCAGCAAAUAUGCAGAAUGAGGAGGGGCAAAACAUGGAUCUCUAUAUCCCAAGGAAGUGUUCGAGCUAAUGGUCCUAAUGAUGUGAGGUGAUUAUGGGAUAUCCGUCUUCCCCGUGGAAGACGACAUAUUUUGCUGAAAAUUUGAGACAUCUUGCUUCCAUCCUAACAUCAGACGUUUUAUGGAAACAUAUGCUUGGGCAUAUUACAGGAUAAGCGGUUGCCUGCCUAUGAUGUUGGAACUAUCUUACUAUCGAUUUAGAGUUUGCUUGGAGCAAGAGAUAUAUGUAGAGAUGAGGAAAUCUAUGAAGCUCGGAUCGGCACAUGAUUAAUUUCAGAAUGAUGUGACAAUAUUAAGAACUUUGAUAUUUAUUUGUAGCUCGAGUUGUUUAUUUUCAUUGCAUAGGAACUUCGAUAUUUUCUUUUUGUACAAAGAUGACAUAUACCUCAUUCGGAAGCCUCCUAAAUUUCUUUGAUUGUAACCCUAUGAUUGUAACCCUUUUGUAACCCUAUGUGAUUGUAAAUUUAUUUAUUCUUUUGCCAUUCUUUUAAUGAAAUUGAUGGAUGGGAGUUAGCUA
Salvia miltiorrhiza (redroot sage) is the source of this 1333-nucleotide long non-coding RNA. RefSeq lists it as uncharacterized. Lineage: Eukaryota; Viridiplantae; Streptophyta; Magnoliopsida; Lamiales; Lamiaceae. The transcript has 4 exons. The record is from RefSeq and is a predicted model, not a curated record.